UUGCUUGGGAGGGUAAAGUGGCGCACGGGUGAGUAACGCGUGGGUAACCCACCUUCGAAUCUGGGAUAACUCCGCGAAAGCGGUGCUAAUACCGGAUAAGACCACAGCCGUUUCGGCGGCAGAGGUAAAAGCUGACCUCUCCAUGGAAGUUAGCGUUCGAGGACGGGCCCGCGUCCUAUCAGCUUGUUGGUGGGGUAAAGGCCUACCAAGGCAGCGACGGGUAGCUGGUCUGAGAGGAUGAUCAGCCACACUGGAACUGGAACACGGUCCAGACUCCUACGGGAGGCAGCAGUGAGGAAUUUUGCGCAAUGGGGGAAACCCUGACGCAGCAACGCCGCGUGGGUGAAGAAGGCUUUCGGGUCGUAAAGCCCUGUCAGGUGGGAAGAACCGUUUCGAUACUAAUAAUGUCGAAGCCUGACGGUACCACCAGAGGAAGCACCGGCCAACUCCGUGCCAGCAGCCGCGGUAAUACGGAGGGUGCAAGCGUUGUUCGGAAUUAUUGGGCGUAAAGAGCGUGUAGGCGGUUUGGUAAGUCAGAUGUGAAAGCCCUGGGCUCAACCCAGGAAGUGCAUUUGAAACUACCAGACUUGAGUACGGGAGAGGAGGGGGGAAUUCCCGGUGUAGAGGUGAAAUUCGUAGAUAUCGGGAGGAAUACCAGUGGCGAAGGCGCCCCUCUGGACCGAUACUGACGCUGAGACGCGAAAGCGUGGGGAGCAAACAGGAUUAGAUACCCU
RNAcentral lists this ribosomal RNA (734 nucleotides) under uncultured bacterium. RNAcentral's name for it is "bacterial SSU rRNA". It matches the Rfam family "Bacterial small subunit ribosomal RNA", at positions 77 to 788 of the family's 1533-position model. The record is from RNAcentral.